RNAcentral lists this ribosomal RNA (482 nucleotides) under uncultured bacterium. Its description in RNAcentral is "partial 16S ribosomal RNA". It matches the Rfam family "Bacterial small subunit ribosomal RNA", at positions 30 to 507 of the family's 1533-position model. The record is from RNAcentral.
AUUGAACGCUGGCGGCAUGCUUUACACAUGCAAGUCGAACGGUAACAGGCCGCAAGGUGCUGACGAGUGGCGAACGGGCGAGUAAUGCAUCGGAACGUGCCCAGUCGUGGGGGAUAACUACUCGAAAGAGUAGCUAAUACCGCAUACGAUCUAUGGAUGAAAGCGGGGGACCGUAAGGCCUCGCGCGAUUGGAGCGGCCGAUGUCAGAUUAGGUAGUUGGUGGGGUAAAGGCUCACCAAGCCAACGAUCUGUAGCUGGUCUGAGAGGACGACCAGCCAUACUGGGACUGAGACACGGCCCAGACUCCUACGGGAGGCAGCAGUGGGGAAUUUUGGACAAUGGGCGCAAGCCUGAUCCAGCAAUGCCGCGUGCAGGAAGAAGGCCUUCGGGUUGUAAACUGCUUUUGUACGGAACGAAACGGCUCUGGUUAAUACCCGGGGCUAAUGACGGUACCGUAAGAAUAAGCACCGGCUAACUACGUG